This is a small nucleolar RNA of Rattus norvegicus (Norway rat), 128 nucleotides long. Ensembl annotates it as small nucleolar RNA SNORA17. The record is from Ensembl. NCBI's taxonomy places the organism in Eukaryota, Metazoa, Chordata, Mammalia, Rodentia, Muridae.
ACUGCUCCUAGAAGUGUUGCAGGUGUAGCUGCUGUGUCACAUGUAUGUCAGUAAUUGGCAGGAGAGAGGCUAUGUCUAUUCACAAUGUUCUGACCUAGGAACAUCUGAAUAAUUAGUAGCUCAGCACU